AGCAGAGAUGCUGCUAACAAAUCAAGGAAAUGUUCUAAUAUUAGACUGUAUGUAUCUAGGCAGUAGGAGCCCCUGACCUCUCUACUCUGCCGGCAUUACGUUCCACUUCACAGAUCAACAUAAUGAAAGAAGUGGUGUGGAAGGAAGUGGUUAAAAAAAUGUUAGGUCAUCGUAGACAAAACAGGAGACGCAGCCCCCAGUUUUUUUUUCCUCUUGGUGAUAUUCGAGCUAGCACAUCUUGUGUUGUCUCGAGGAUUUUGUUUUUCUUUUCACUUGUUUGGUUCAAUACAACAACCUCUUCUGAGCAGGUUAUUUUGGCAAAAGCUAGUUUUAACAUAAGCUGUAGUCAUUUAUUACUGUGUUUACAUGUAAUGAUGAUUGUUAAUUUUCAUGCAAAUCCGGGUGCUUUUUAACCAUUUUGUCCUGCUGAAGAUAAAUUUAAUCAACUCAUGUGUUUUAUUAAAUAUCCGUUGCGUAGAUCUUCAUCAUGCACAUGUGACUGGAAUUAACGAGCAGCAUUGUUGAAUUGAACUCAAUGUUCCCGAAACUGAAUCCAUACACAAGAUUUGAAAGGAAGAAUACAGAAAAGGAUUCUUAUACCCACGCGGCCUCGAUGACCACUGCCACUCCCGCAGGCUCCAGUGCCUCUUGAACGGCCAAGGUGAUCUGUUUGUUUAGACGCUCCUGAACUGGAGAGUAAAACACUUUAUGUGUCAUAUUCCAAAUAUAUCCGUAAUCAAGUUGUUUUUGUUUGUUGUUACCUUGAAGCCUCCUGCUGUAGAUUUCAGCAAUCCUGAAAUCACAUUAAAAAAAAACAUUUCAGUCUGAAAACAAGUUUCAGACACCUCCUUGUUAAUGUCACAAUAGACUAUCCUUCUUAUCUUCCAUAUGCAUCAGUUGAAUGGGUUUGUAUUUUCAUUAUAUCCUGAGACUGGCCAUCAAUGUCAAGUCAAUAUUAUGCUGAUAAUUUUUUUAUUGAGUUUUAUUUUGAUUGCCGUGCUUCCAUUCUAUGAUCAUAUUUUUGAGAUUCUGUUUGGUUUGGUAUCCGGUUAUGGGAUGAAGUGGCUGUUUUGGCUAGCAUAUUUAAAUAAGUUGCUUCGUGAUGUAUCAUUCACUACCAGGUGUGUCUCAUCAAAACGUACCUUGCAAGCUUGCUAAGACCAAUGACGACCUUGUUUGGGAUGUACGCAAUGUGAGCCUGAAAAAAAAUUAUGAUUUAAAAUGUUGAUAAUUAUACAUUACCAGCUAAUAGGAUGUAUUGGAAUAUUGCACUAUAGAUUACCUUGCCAAAGAAGGGAACCAGGUGAACAACUCAAUGUCCUUGACAAUCACAAUCUCUCUGUGAUUUUCAUCAAAGAUGGCAUCAUUCAAAAGAUCUGUGAAAGUAAAACUCAUUGACUGCAUUCUGUUUUCAACCAAAGCUCUAGUGUAGAAUAGAAUCAAAGCUGAACGGGACUAUCUAGAUUUUUGGUCGUCAACUACUUUGAAGGCCACAAUUAUUCUGAAACAUACCGUAUAUUACAGAACGAACUUUGAGAAUGACCUUGGCUGUCUUAAAAAUAUGUUUCUUUGAAGAAAACAAGGCUUGCCUGCAGGCUCCAAAUGAGAAUGAGAAAAAUUGUAUAUCCUAAAUUGCGGCAGUCAAGAUGUUGCACACAGUAAGGAAUGAGAAUGAGAAUGAGUCGGGGGGGGGGGUUCAAAUGGGUGAUCUUCCCCACAUGGCAUUUGAGAUGGUCAGAUCUCUCAUUAUUAUGCGAUACGUACAUGUGCUUUGGUCUGAUUGGAUCACUCAUCUUCCUUAAUUGAAAUGGAAAACAGCUUGGGUCUGCUUGGUCCAUAUCACGGCGUCUACUAGAUAGAUGUCACGUCCUUUGAUGCCUAGUUCAAAAUAAAAUCCCUCGCAUUGGUUUGAUCGUGGGAGUUAUUUAUACACACAGAACCCACAUUCAAAUACGGUGUAUAAGUAUAGAUAUGUGCUGUUCUACAACAAUACUUGUACUUUUUAAUGUAUCUGUGGUGGAUGAAAUAGCAAAGCUUGCGUUCGUUGGUGCCAGCGAUGGUCGUCGCGGCCACUUCCAUUCACAUGAAUGGGAGCGUUUCACGAGCUCAAAAUAGCCGCCUCUCUCAUGUCACCCACACGUCCAAGCUCAGCCAGCUCAAGUUCUCUAUUAGUGGGCCAACAAUCAAACACAUGAUGAAUUUAACUUCACAUGUCGGCACAUCGGUGUGGCGUCGGUGAGGCGACUUAAGUGAGUGCCGGUUCAGUGUGUAUAAAUCAUUUGUAACUAUUCUAACUAAACUAAACUAAACUCUCUUGCAUUAAAAUAUUAAAUAAUCUUAUAAAUCCAGUUUAUCUAUAUAGGCCCACCUUUCACAAUGAUCAACGACAUUCCCUUGACUACACCUCUCAUCCCGGCAAGGGGAAAAGAAUAAAACCUGGGGGAACCUUGAAAACGGAUCACACAUAGAGGGGUCCCCCUUCCAGGAUGACCAGGCUGCAGUGAAUGCCGAGUGGGCAACAUUUAUUACAUGGUAGACGCCUCCGGGGAAGAGGUUCUCCUGAGGACCUGUCCCAGUCGGUCUGUGCAGAAUCCUCCACAGCAACGUCUGCGGGAAUCCCAACAUAUAGAGAGUGCAGACGGUGAAGCUGAGAAUGUUCACACAUCAUGGCAGGAAAGACUAAAUCAGCACAGGUAACUAAGUUUAUGAAACUUGGAUCAUAGGUG
Long non-coding RNA from Phyllopteryx taeniolatus (common seadragon), 2726 nucleotides. RefSeq lists it as uncharacterized. Lineage: Eukaryota; Metazoa; Chordata; Actinopteri; Syngnathiformes; Syngnathidae. The transcript has 3 exons. The record is from RefSeq and is a predicted model, not a curated record.